Molecule: ribosomal RNA, 468 nt
Filed under: uncultured bacterium
Lineage: Bacteria
Description: partial 16S ribosomal RNA
Rfam family: Bacterial small subunit ribosomal RNA
Source: RNAcentral
GACGAACGCUGGCGGCGUGCUUAACACAUGCAAGUCGAACGGAAAGGCCCUGCUUUUGUGGGGUGCUCGAGUGGCGAACGGGUGAGUAACACGUGAGUAACCUGCCCUUGACUUUGGGAUAACUUCAGGAAACUGGGGCUAAUACCGGAUAGGAGCUCCUGCUGCAUGGUGGGGGUUGGAAAGUUUCGGCGGUUGGGGAUGGACUCGCGGCUUAUCAGCUUGUUGGUGGGGUAGUGGCUUACCAAGGCUUUGACGGGUAGCCGGCCUGAGAGGGUGACCGGCCAAAUUGGGACUGAAAUGCGGCCCAGACUCCUACGGGAGGCAGCAGUGGGGAAUAUUGCACAAUGGGCGGAAGGAUGAUGCAGCAAAGCCGCGUGGGGGGUGACGGCCUUCCGGUUGUAAACCGCUUUCGCCUGUGACGAAGCGUGAGUGACGGUAAUGGGUAAAGAAGCACCGGCUAACUACGUG